GAGGCGGCUGAGCAGCAAGUACCAGCUUUCUUGCUCCGACUCGUUCUCGGCCACCAUAGCGAAGUACUCGUCCUGCGUGAAAAGGGCAAUGAGGUGUCGGUACCUUGCAUCAGCUCGCUGGCUCACGGAGAAGCACUGGUAGCCGCGUUUGCAGACUUCGUCCCCGACGGGGAGGUCCUCCUCUUCAGACUCGGAGUCUGACCGGGAGCCAGUGGCCGUGGAGAGCCACAUGGCUCCCGGACAAGACGACCCGGUCCCAAUGAGUGCGGUCGGGGUUCCCGAAGAAAGAAGCGGGGUGGUGGUCACCGCUGCUAGAGCUGCCGCUGCUGCCGCUGCUGCAGCUCUCAGUCUCCUUGUCGCUUGGUCGCGAGCGAAGGAGCUACUCGCCAUGGUGAUGCACGAUGGUUUUAAGUCUGGUCCAUUUCCUCCUGCUGCACGCGGCCGGCCCUACUCCUCAGGAGAAAGUGUCCACAACCCCUGAAAACGUGUCAGCCACCAGGGCGCUCAGCCCUGCCGCCCACCGUGCUGCAGGAGCUCCAGAGUCUGCUCCAUCCCUGACAUGAAUAGGACACUCGAAUAGCAGCGAUGCCUUCAAAAUGAACACAAUCUUUAAACAGAGCGCAUUUCUAGUCCACGAAAUACAGGUUCGUUAGAGAUGGUGUUGCUGUUUAUUUAAUAAUGACUAUGAAAGCACAAAUUUGGGGGCCUGCGAAGUAUACAGCCAUGUUGAAAAAAAUCAGACUGGAUUCUUAAUACGCAAGUGUUGAGCUGUCUUGAUUUUUUUUUUUGUGUGUGUGUGGGGGAUGCUUUGAAAGAUGCCUUUAAAAGAAUCUCAAAAUAUUAAGUUUCUCUUUCUUCGAAUGAGACCAAAAAACUUUAGAAAAAGAAAGCUCGUCCCUAGAACAAAGGACCCUACCGAAUACACAUCCUAGAAUAUAUUUCACAUCCCUCGCGUCAAGAAAAGAAGGUCUUUACUGCAUUUUACUUUACAAGUUGACAUCACAAAAAUAAGAGCUACUGCCUUCCUUGUUUCUGCAAAAACUGCUAGAGUGUAAGUGCAACCUCCUGAAGUCAGUGUCUGUCUCUGUCUCUGUCUGUCUCUGUGUCUCUGUCUGUCUGUCUCUCUCUCUCUCUCUCUUUCUCUUUCUUCCCCUCUCUUCCCUUUCUCCCUCUCUCCCCCUCUCCCCAUCUCUCUCUCUCUGUCUUUGAAUAAGGUUUCAGACUCUUAAGGGUGAAGAUGGGUUGAGAUUACAUUAAAGUGUCAACAGAGUGACCACAUUUGCCAUGAGUGAUUUGUGGAAAGACAUGGUAUUUCUUUCCAAAACAAUGUAAUGUCAGUUCACCCUUGCUCUAGGAUAGUAUGGCCAAAGGUCUUAUUUAUAGUCUAACAGUAAACCAGGCUAUGUAUAUACGUAAUGAAAAUAGACACCAUCUCUUGCUCUCUUAAGAAUUUAUUCUCUUAGAAACGACAUAAACAUUUGAAUAGAUGGCACCUUUUUAAUGCUCUGAUUUGGAGGGAAAAAUUGGUUUUGAUUGUCCUCAAAACAUUAGAAAUAAUCAUUACUAUUUCCUUUGCUGCCAGUGACUUACAAAUAUAGUAUAUUCACAGGUGCUAGAAGCAAAGGUGAUUACUGAAAGAGCCCCGUACCCGGAGGUAGAAUGGGUGUGGAUGAACCAUACUACAUUUCAGCUGCCUUGUCAUAUAUUUUCAAGAUUCACUCUACUUAUAACCAAAAUGAUAAUGAAUACUCUCAUUUGAGUUUUAUACAAUAGAUAUUAAGAUGUUUUCUGUAUUUCCAAGCCCAAGGUUUUGCUUUAGAUAGAAAUGUGAAAACAAGGCAAUGCAUUGAAAGGUGCUUUGAGUAGUAACAUGACAUUUUAAAAUAUAUUUAAAACAUUAAAUGCAUGUUAAAUAAAAUUUGGAAAGUAUCAAAGAGAUUUAAAAAUCCCUAUGUUUCUUUAUUUCUCCUAUGUAUAUAGAGUUUUUACAUAGAACAGUAGGCUUUUGAUGUAUAUAAUUUUGCAUCCUGUUCUUUUCACUUAACACUACAUGAUAGCAUUAUGAAUCCGCCAAAACAUCAUUUAAAAUGUAGUAUAAUAUCCCACACAGUUGUAGUAUUAUAUCUUGUCAGUUCUAAGGCAUAUUAAUGUACUUAAUUAUCAUUUUGCUUUGGGGGCAUUUAGAUUGUUUUCAAAGUUUUUCAUUACUACAAAUAAUACUGCAACAAAUAUCUUGUACCUGUGGCUUUUAAAGUAUGUUUAAAUUAUUCCAUUGGGGGUGGACUGGAAUUACUGGGUUAAAAUAUAUGAACAUUUAGAACAUUAUUUUUCAGAAAUAUUACAUCAGUUUUCUCUGUCACCAAACUGAUUGCCAGCUUUGGACAUUUUAAUUUUAAAAAUAUUACUGAUCUAAUGAGUGACAUGUUUUUCCACUGUUCUUUUAGCAUACAUUUUUGUUUUCUAGUAAGAUAAAAUGUUUGUAUGUAUAUUUACUGACAAUAUAUUGCCUUAUAUAAAGUCAUUUGCCCUA
Non-coding RNA from Ictidomys tridecemlineatus (thirteen-lined ground squirrel), 2530 nucleotides. The record is from RefSeq and is a predicted model, not a curated record. Lineage: Eukaryota; Metazoa; Chordata; Mammalia; Rodentia; Sciuridae.